CGCCGCUCGCUCCCCGGGCCCCCGGCCUUGCUGCCUGCUGCGGGGCGGGGCAGUCCAAGGCCUGGCUCGGCUCCCAGUGUAAAUACCGCGUCUCCCUCCUCGGUUAAACUCCAGGGACUCGGAACUCAAUGGGUUAACUGGACCCAAUGAGGGGAAGGGGGACGGGGAGGAGCGCGCCCACCCCUGCCCGUGCAGCCUGGGGCCCCAUUGUUAAUACAAUGUAGCAACUUCGCUGGCGCCGGCUGCCCCCUCCCUGUCCACUUUCGAAACUUGUUCUAAGGACAAAGUGGCUAUGUGCAAUGGAUGUAAAUGUACUGAGUCUCUUGGUUCAGUGUUAAGUUCACGUUCAUUUGUUUAUGAGUCUAAGUUAUUUUUCUUUCUUCUCCUGGACCCGCUUCCCCUCCCGUUUUGUGUUCCCUUUUGGGGGGCUUUUUUGCUUUGUUUAUUUUUGUUGUUGUAACCUCUUGUUGUAACAGCACUUUAAAAGGGCGACAACUGACUCACGAGAUGAUGACCACCUUGAGCCUGUUUGGGGGAGACCACCCUGUAUCCGUGACUUUUGUUUUUAAUAAAAGAAAAAUCUGUUACUUUCUGGGAUUGCCAGGUGGGAGUGUGGGAGGAGAGGGGAGGGACAAGAGGGCGGAGGGCGGCGCCACAGGUGGGGCGGGGACCACUUCCGGUCACCUGGUUAGAGCUGUGCUUGCUCAGGUGGACAGCAGUCAGCACCCACCCAAGUAGAAAGCCCCCAGCUUGGGGGCCACCCCCGCUCCACACCACCACACUCCCCGGGCCCCACUUGGGGAAAAGGGGAUGAUUGCCUGAUCCACGGUACAGCAGCUGUCUCUUCCCUCAAGCUCUUGUAGGUGCCCACACCUGCCAGGGGACGUCAUCGCUCAGGACUCUGCAGGCCGGACCCACCAGAUCAGUUCUCCGUGGCAGCCAAAAAAUGACAUCCGGACAGGAAGUGACUUGAGUCUCCAGGGCGCGCCAGAGGCGAGUGGAGCUGGGACACGUGGGGGUCGGAGGGUGCACCUCAUUUCUUUACCCGACGGCAUAAAUGCACCCCUCGAAACCCCACCUUCAGUCUCUGUAAAAUGGGCCAGUGGGGACCAUCCAGGCUGGCAGUUGCUUCCGUGGCCGAGGCCCAGCAGAGGAGCCUACCACAUACUCCUUUCGGCUGGUUCUCCCGCAAAUUCCAGAGUGGAGAAAAGCACCAGACAGCUGGGGCCCGCCAGAAGGGGCGCCCCAUCUGGGCCGGAACCUCUGCGGAUUCGGGGUGUAGGCGGAUCCGACCCACAAAGUAGAGUCGGAAAAAACCCUCGGGCUCCGCCCCCUUUCCGAAGUGUUUGUGCCCUCCCAA
Molecule: long non-coding RNA, 1360 nt
Filed under: Fukomys damarensis (Damara mole-rat)
Lineage: Eukaryota; Metazoa; Chordata; Mammalia; Rodentia; Bathyergidae
Description: lncRNA (ENSFDAG00000031581.1)
Source: RNAcentral